This 21-nucleotide non-coding RNA is filed under the name Caenorhabditis elegans. Lineage: Eukaryota; Metazoa; Nematoda; Chromadorea; Rhabditida; Rhabditidae. The record is from RNAcentral.
UGGUGAUAGGUUUUUUGAGUU